This is a non-coding RNA of Paramuricea clavata, 383 nucleotides long. The record is from the annotation of a GenBank genome assembly. Lineage: Eukaryota; Metazoa; Cnidaria; Anthozoa; Malacalcyonacea; Plexauridae.
CGCCUUUGGCUUUGCACAUAUUAAGUGACAUAACAAACAAAUAAACUAAAGGUUCAUUUGCUUCUUGUAUCAGCAUAAAGGCAUUAAUCAUUACUGUCGAUUUGGUCGGGAAUAGAUCAGUGAUUCAGUGGGUAUUAUAAUUGCCGAUAUAUUCUUGAAAUCAUUUUGUUUCAAUGCCUCUAUAUCGAAGUUCAAUACUCUAAAGUGACUAAACAAGUAUAAACAGCAGAUUUAAGUAUAAAUGCCUUCAUGUAUUAUAAAAUAUAUCACCAGACAGGUAGACAGGGCACACGGCACGACUACAUCACUAUACGAGAACGAAAUAAAGCCAUCCUUACCUGAAUUAUUCAAAAUAUUGUCGAUCAUUCUUGCGCCAGAGACAC